This 371-nucleotide ribosomal RNA is filed under the name uncultured organism. RNAcentral's name for it is "partial 16S ribosomal RNA". It matches the Rfam family "Bacterial small subunit ribosomal RNA", at positions 527 to 896 of the family's 1533-position model. The record is from RNAcentral.
GAAGGGGGCUAGCGUUGCUCGGAAUUACUGGGCGUAAAGGGCGCGUAGGCGGAUCGUUAAGUCAGAGGUGAAAUCCCAGGGCUCAACCCUGGAACUGCCUUUGAUACUGGCGAUCUUGAGUAUGAGAGAGGUAUGUGGAACUCCGAGUGUAGAGGUGAAAUUCGUAGAUAUUCGGAAGAACACCAGUGGCGAAGGCGACAUACUGGCUCAUUACUGACGCUGAGGCGCGAAAGCGUGGGGGGAGCAAACAGGAUUAGAUACCCUGGUAGUCCACGCCGUAAACGAUGAUUGCUAGUUGUCGGGCUGCAUGCAGUUCGGUGACGCAGCUAACGCAUUAAGCAAUCCGCCUGGGGAGUACGGUCGCAAGAUUA